GGCCGUAACUAUAACGGUCCUAAGGUAGCGAAAUUCCUUGUCGGCUAAAUACUGACCUGCACGAAAGGCAUAAUGAUCUCUCAACUGUCUCAACACUAGACUCGGUGAAAUUAUGGUCCCAGUGAAAACGCUGGGUUCCCGCAUCAAGACGAAAAGACCCCAUGGAGCUUUACUAUAACUUCGUAUUGGAAUUUGGCCUAACAUGUGUAGGAUAGGUGGGAGACUUUGAAGCUGAGACGCCAGUAGCAGUGGAGUCAACCUUGAAAUACCACCCUUGUUAUGUUGAAUUUCUAACUUACCAUCAUAAUCAGGUGGGAGGACAGUGCGUGGUGGGUAGUUUGACUGGGGCGGUCGCCUCCUAAAGAGUAACGGAGGCGUUCAAAGGUACACUCAGUACGGUCAGAAACCGUAUGUAGAGCGCAAAGGCAGAAGUGUGCUUGACUGUGAGACAUACAAGUCGAGCAGGUGCGAAAGCAGGACUUAGUGAUCCGGCUGUACAUUGUGGAAUGGCAGUCGCUCAACGGAUAAAAGUUACCCUGGGGAUAACAGGCUAAUCUUGCCCAAGAGAUCACAUCGACGGCAAGGUUUGGCACCUCGAUGUCGGCUCAUCGCAUCCUGGAGCUGGAGUCGGUUCCAAGGGUUGGGCUGUUCGCCCAUUAAAGCGGUACGCGAGCUGGGUUCAAAACGUCGUGAGACAGUUUGGUCCCUAUCUGAUGUGGGCGUUGGAAUAUUGAUGAGAGCCGCUCUUAGUACGAGAGGACCGGAGUGGACGUACCGCUGGUGUUCCAGUUGUUCCGCCAGGAGCAUGGCUGGGUAGCUAAGUACGGAAAGGAUAACCGCUGAAAGCAUCUAAGUGGGAAGCCUCCUCAGAGAUUAGUAUUCCCUUGAAAUUCCUUAUAGACUAUGAGGUUGAUAGGCUGGAUGUGUAAGCACAGUAAUGUGUUGAGCUGACCAGUACUAAUAAAUUGAAAGGUUUAAAAG
This 981-nucleotide ribosomal RNA is filed under the name Mycoplasmopsis bovis. RNAcentral describes it as "partial 23S ribosomal RNA". It matches the Rfam family "Bacterial large subunit ribosomal RNA", at positions 1932 to 2925 of the family's 2925-position model. The record is from RNAcentral. Lineage: Bacteria; Bacillati; Mycoplasmatota; Mycoplasmoidales; Metamycoplasmataceae.